CCUACGGGAGGCAGCAGUGAGGAAUAUUGGUCAAUGGCCGGAAGGCUGAACCAGCCAUGCCGCGCGAAGGUCAGUGCCCUAUGGGCGUUAAACUUCUUUUGUGCGGGAGCAAUAAUGGUCACGUGUGGCCAGACGAGAGUACCGUACGAAUAAGCAUCGGCUAACUCCGGUCCAGCAGCCGCGGUAAUACGGGGGAUGCAAGCGUUAUCCGGAUUUAUUGGGUUUAAAGGGUUCGUAGGCUGGGAGGAAAGUCAGCAGUGAAAUGCCCCCGCUCAACGGGGUGAAGUGCCAUUGAUACUGCAUGGCUGGAAAGCGGAUGCGGUGGGAGGAAUGUGUGGUGUAGCGGUGAAAUGCAUAGAGAUCACACAGAACACCGAUUGCGAAGGCAUCUCACGAAUCCGCGAUUGACGCUGAGGCACGAAAGCGUGGGUAUCAAACAGGAUUAGAUACCCUUGUAGUC
This 460-nucleotide ribosomal RNA is filed under the name uncultured bacterium. RNAcentral's name for it is "partial 16S ribosomal RNA". It matches the Rfam family "Bacterial small subunit ribosomal RNA", at positions 338 to 795 of the family's 1533-position model. The record is from RNAcentral.